Molecule: long non-coding RNA, 7602 nt
Organism: Passer domesticus (house sparrow)
Lineage: Eukaryota; Metazoa; Chordata; Aves; Passeriformes; Passeridae
Exons: 3
Source: RefSeq, a predicted model, not a curated record
UCUGGAAAUCAAAGAAUCCUUAUCAGUGCUUCCUUCCUCUCAGAAAGCUGGGAUUCACAGCGUCCACCCCAAAAAUCUAUCGGCCUAAGCAAAUUCUUCCAAACCCCGAAGAGCUGAGAAAAGGGCUGGAUAUGGCAGUGGGCUGCGGCAGGCUGCCAACCCAGCACUUGGAGGAAAAUACUCCCCUUUCCUACAGCUCUAAGGGGGUGGGAUAAAUACGUGCCUAUCUCUAGUUCUACAUGUUUUAUUUAUAACCCUCUGCCUAAUAUCUCUGUUUUUCCUCCCCACAUGUCUAGGGCAUGUGUUUUACAUUCAAUCACACUAGUGAAGACACAUGAUUAGCCAUUUUCUGCUACCCAAAAUAAUCUCUCUCUCUCUCUCUCUCUCUGUGAAACAAAUUGCUCUUUGCCAGUAAGGAAAGUAUUAAAGGUGCCAUGGCACUGGCAGCUGCUUCUUGGGGUACACUGGGGUGCUACAAAAGAUCCCUGAAAAUCUGCAGCAUCUCCAUGAAGGCAGCCCAGAUGGCUGAUGUUAGCAAGCAGUGGGGAAUGAAGGGUCUGAUAGGAAUCUGAGGGUGCCAGCCCUUGAGAAACCGAUUUGUAGAGAGUCAAAGCCCAUUCUGGUGGUAGUGCUGUUUUGUUGGGUCAAAGUUACACUCCAGAAUUCCAUAUUUUAGGGUGGCAGCACAAUGAAGCCCUGGGCAGCAUCUGCUGUGCCUUUCCCAGUGCAUGGGGCUAUGAUUGGUGUUAACAGUCACAGCUAGAAAAUCUGCCUUCCGAUUGCCCUCUACAAUGGGACCAGGAAGGUCCGCGUGUGACCUGACGUGCAUAAUAUGAAAUGGUUGCUCUCGGUUGUAGAAUUGCAUUUUAUUUAAAUGGUAUGCUCUGUACCACCCCUUCAAAAUGUAUGGUAUAUCCCAAGCCUGUGGUCCUUCCCUGAACCAUCAUGAAUCUGUAAUCCCAUUGGCCCAAGUCUGAUUCCGAGACCAUCUUCAAUCCCCGUCUUAAACAGUGUGAGCGAGACCAGUCGCCCUCUUAGCCUUUCCCCUUUCUUAGCCCUUCUCUCUGCCUCAUGCUCCUUUCCUCACCUAGGCUCCCCCUCCUUCCCCCUCCCCCUUCUCUCUCAGUAACCAUUCUGUUCCCGGGGAUGGGACCCCCAAUAAACCCCCAUCAAAUCAGCACUCUCAGAAGCCGUGUGGAGUCUCCUUGCCUGCCUGCUGCUGCCAGCAAACUCACUGCCUAGGGGGCCGUCUGGGGACUCCCCAGGGUGCCCCUCCCAAAAGCGAACCACAACACUCGGUGGAAGACAAACCCUACAAAAUCGCAGAGCAAGCAAAAUAAUUGUUGAUUAGACAUUUCUUUUAGCAUGGAGUGUUCUGCCCUUUCAGCUCUCCCAGCAACAUAGGCCAAAUCAGUGACUAGAUUAAAAGGUUGUUGGAAUUUUUUUAAUGCUCUGACAACAGCAGCCAACUCAGCAAUUUGAGGGUUCCUUCAACGACUUGUACAUCAGACUCCCACUUCUGAGUGUUCGGAUCCUUCCAAGUGAUAACCGAUUUAUGUGAUUUUCCAGAGCCAUCUGUAAAAACUGUGUGGGCUUUAAGAGGAACCUUACUUUUUAGAGAAUUUGGGACUAGAUGGAAUGUUUCUUUUAGUAGCUUGUGUUUUGGAUAAUGAAUAGAGACUUGUUCGGGAUAGCUGUCUAAAGCAAACUGAAGGUGUUCACUUGUCUGUAAUAGGGAUCCUAAUUUGUUUAGUUGAAAUGCUGGAUAAAUGUAUGUUGGAUCACACGCUGCAGGGGUUCAGAGGUGGUUCCUGCCUUUAAUGAUUAAUUGAGCUAAAAGCUCUUGAGGGAUUGUAAUAGUUUUUUUGGGUUAGUGUGGGAAAAAUACCCAUUCUAUAAUUAACAAUUGAUCUGUAGAAGACGGGUCCCACUGAAAAAGUAGUGCCUGGAAAUGUGGGGAUUUACCAAGAAUAGCAAACUGGGAGGUUAGAGAGCAGUCAACGCGGUGUGCUUUUCGAGAUGAGAUAGCAGGUGCUACCUUUCGCAGCGUGUCGUGGGCAUCGGGAGUUAAGAUGCGCUGGGAAGUCAGGUCAUGGCUCCCCUUCAGUACACUGAACAAAGGGGACAGCUCUUCUCUCGUGAGUCCAAGCAGUGGUCGGAUCCAGGUGAUGGAGCCACAAAACGGCUGUAAGUCCCUUAGCACUUGAGCCUUAUCUUUGAUGGAGAAACUUUGGGGAAUAAUGUCUCGCCCACUGAUUAGGAAUCCGAGGUAUUUCCAUGGGGAGGUGUACUGGGUUUUUCAGGAGCAAUAUCAAAACCUGCAUCUUCAACUGCUGUCAUAGUCUUUCUGAUCACUGUGUUAAGGUAAGUCUUGUCUUGGGAGCAAAGUAAAAUUUCGUCCAUAUAAUGUAGAAUUAUAGCUUCAGGGAAGGCUUUCCUGAUUGGAGAUACAAUCCCAGCCACAAACAUUUGACAAAAAACAUUGGCUGAAGAAGACCAUAUGCAAUCUCACUGUUCUAAGAAAUUGAGGGACUUAAGAGAUUAUCCAAGUGGAGAAUCAACCCUCAGAGAAUUGAAGGGGUCAGGGGCUCUUCUUCUUGGGGCACAAAAACCAUCUUCAAGAGCCCUUGAUAAAAUCAAGAAUAGGACCCCAAGAACAAUUAAUGGAAUUUUUAGUAGACACAGGAGCAGAGACAACUUGUUUAACUGAAAAACCAAAUGGAUGUGCCAUAAGCAAAGACACUGUCAAUAUUUGUGCUGCUAAAGGGGAAUCCUUCCCCAUUCCCAUCAUUAUGAAUGUCACUAUAAAGGGUAGUGGACUAACCAAAAAUGGAGAUUUGUUUUUCUACCUCAAGCAGGUAACAACUUACUUGGCCAGGAUCUCCAGAUACCUUUGAAAGUCGCAGCAGUUCACAAGAAGGAAAGAUAAAGGUCAAAUUGUUUACUUUAUCCACGCAAGAUGAACAACUGAUUAAUCCUACAGUGUAGGCCCAACCAGAUUCUCCUUCUAGACACCUGUUUGCUUCCACCUGGGAAGAUCCAGACACUGGAAGGAAACAGCAGCUCACCUGGACCUGGCGGCUGCAAGGGUACAUGGAGUCUCCCACACUCUUCGGUCAGGCCUUGGAGAGCCUGUUCAUUUCCUUUUCUCCACCCUCAGGAAUACAAGUAUCACAGUCAACAAAAAGGAUCUCUGGAGAAACUAGAGGAAACAUCCUAGCAGACCAUGCUGCAAAGGAGGCUGCUUUUGAGGGGGAAGUAAAGGUAUACAGAUUUUAUCCAAGAGACACACCCGAGAGUACACCAGACAACACCCUUCCUAUCCCUAUUUUUAAAGACGAUGAAAAACAGAAACUCAUAUCACUAGGUGGAAAGGAAGAUUCCGAGGGACGGUGGCAUCUUCCUGAUGGCCACCAAAUGUUAAAUAAAGAGCUCACUCGAGAAAUUUUACAGAACUUCCACCAAUCCACGCACUGGGGAUCUAAAGCUUUAGCAGGUCACUUUCUUCAAAAUUUUGGAUGUCGGGGAAUUGAUGAAUUAGCUAAUCAAAUUACCAUAGGUUGGAUAAUUUGCCAAAAAGUCAACAGAAAAUUAAUGAGGAGAACGAGACCUGGAAGAAUUGAAAUUGCAAUUAGACCCUUCCAAAGUAUUCAAAUUGAUUUCACAGAAAUGCCCCAUGCCCAAAGAUGGAAGUAUUUCUUAGUGAUUGUAGAUCACCUUACCAAUGGGGUUGAAGCAUUUCCAACUGUUAAUGCCACUGCUCAAACAGUAAGUAAGGUAAUCCUAGAAUAGACAGUCCCAAGAUAUGGAAUUAUAAAUAACAUUGAUUCAGACCAAAGUACCCAUUUUACAUCAUUAGUAUUGCAACAAUUGGCUCAACAAUUUGAAAUAACUUGGAAAUUACAUACCCCUGGCACCCUCAAAGUUCGGGAAGGGUAGAACGCAUGAAUCAGACUAUUAGAACAACCCGGACCAAACUGAUGUUAGAAAUGAAGUGGACUUGGAUAAAGUGCCUACCCCUUGCCCUUCUCAGAAUCCAGAGCCAACCCAGAGCUGACUUAGGUUGUUCCCCAUGUGAAAUGUUAUACAGGCUUCCCUAUUUAGCCACCCCGCAUCAAGUAACUGCCAAAGAGUGAGGAAAUAGAAAUGUGCAAAGGUAUAUUCAAAUGAUUGCCCAGAAUCUAAAAGACUUAAUGCAGAGAGGUCUUGUACCCCAGAACGUUCCUUUAGACUUCUAUUUACAUAAGAUCUGCCCCGGAGAGUAGGUACUUAUUAAAUGCUGGAAGGAACAAUCCCUGACUCCAUCGGGGGAAGGUCCAUUCCAAGUUCAAUUGACCACAGAGACAGCCAUCCAAACACAGGAAAAAGGGUGCACUUCCGUCAGCCAAGUAAAAGGUCCAGUAACACCACCACAAGAUAACGAGAAACCUCCAUGAACUACUCUCUACAACAGUCCUCCCCAGUGUUAUCCCUGAAAUUAUUAUAUCAAUUGUUAUUCUCUCACUGUUUUACAGAAGAGAAUCUAAUGGAUGUUGUAGUUACUAUUUAACAAGUUAUUACAAAUUUUCAAUUCCAUUUCUCCACCAGUGAAGAGUAUCAUUUCCCUGAGAAAUGACCUUUCCUCUCAAUAACUACGUCUUUUUUUUUUUUUUUAUUAAUUUCCUUGGGAGAAACAACAUGAAUAGAACCAAGGCCAGUUCCAGGUAGGACUUUCCUGCAUUUAGAUCCCUUCCUGCAUCCAGGUACACUCCCAUGACAACCAAGGGGUUCGAACCCAGGAGAAAAACCAGAGAGGUUGAAAGGUCUGCACCACCUAUCAGAGAGUACCACGGCACUUCAAUCUUCCCACUGACCCCUGAGCGAGGGAAGGGAAGGUGCGCCCUACUCCUCAUACUCUCCCUCUGGAUCCUGUAGAUCCCCCUUGUCAGAGCCUGCGUCUGCUGCCACCAAUGCUAACAUACAGUGUACCUGACCAAAGGAAACUCCUACCUCAUAAAACACUCAUUCCAGGCACAUACUUAUGUAAAUCCCUUUUGUUAUAAUAUGAUGACACUGAAUACAUGCUGACAAUCAGGCAAAAAACAGUGGAUUGGUAGAAAUAUUGGAAAUGCAAACCAGAAAAGGAAUGGAGAAUGUCCUGAUCAAGAUAAUUGGCUAUGUUUCAAUUUUAAUUAUAUAGCCUAAAAGGAAGAUUUUUUUUAAAAAAGAAAAAAGCUUAUGAAGUUGAUUUGGUUCGAGAAGUUCUAAUAACUGAAAGGGAGAAACAAAAAGAGGACAAUCCACUAGCUACCAAUAAAAACUUAUUUAUUGUUUUAGCAGAACAAAUUAGUAAAAAUCAAAAUAUAACCAAUUGUUGGGUUUGUGGAGGCACCUUCAAAUCAGAAGCCUGGCCUCAGCAAGGAGUCAGUAUUGGACCCCUCAAAUUACUUAAACUAAAUUAUUUCCCCUCCCAAACUCCAAGAGAUCAAGACAAUUGGCUAUUGAGGGACACAGUUCUUGGAGAAGAAUGUAUCUGGAGAAAAGGAAAAAGGUACACUGAGGAAGUUGUAGAAACUACCUGUAAAAGAUAUUUACUAACUGAGGAUCACAAGACGUGGUGGAUACUGAACGAACCAGAUACCUUUUGGUCAAAGAAGAAAAUCAGAAACAAGAACUGCAUAUUACAUCCCAAUGAACAACUUUAUCAGUGCUGGGAUCCUAAAAGUCAGCCUUUAUUCAGUAUUACCCCAAGUUUCUAAGUAUUGGACCUCCACUUUUAUCACUCCUUCACAUUUUUGGGAGGCCCCCCACGGUUUAUACUGGAAUUGUGGGCAAAGAGCAUAUUCUAAACUCCCUUCUCACUGGUGUGGCAAUUGUACAUUAGGAGCAAUACGACCUAGCCCCUUUCUACUAUCAGAAGCAGCUGGAAACCAACUCGGAGUUCCCCAUGAUGAUAAAUUAAAGAAACAAAAAAAUAUGAAAUAGGGGGAAUGUAACAAUGGGGCGAGGAAGAGUGGCCACCAGAGAGAAUUUUAGAAACUUACGGACCUGCCACUUGGGCUCAGGAUGGGAGCUGGGGCUAUCAAACUCCCAUUUACAUGCUAAAUCGCAUUGUUAGACUACAAGCCCUGAUUCAAGUCAUAUCUAAUCAGGCCAAGAGUGCAAUUGAUUUUUUCAACGCCCAACAGAAGCAAAUGAAAACAGCUGUAUAUCAAAACUCUUUAGCCCUAGAUUAUUUAUUAGCCAAAGAGGGUGGAAUAUGUGGCCAUUUGAACACUUCAGACUGUUGUCUGCAUAUUGAUGACCAUGGUGAAACUAUUACUAAAAUUCCCAAAACAUCAGAAAGCUUACACAUGUUCCAGUCCGGUUUUCCCUCACUACACCUGAAUAGUGGAAAAACAUGUUCUCUGGGGAGUGGUGGAAGAAAGCCUUAAUUAUUUUUGGAGUUUCCUUAGUUAGCCUUCUCUUUCUCCCCUGCUUAAUCCCAUGUUUCAUUCAUCUAAUUACCUCAGUAGUACAAAGCAUGUUCGCUAGUCAAAAUCUUCAAACGAGCCAACAUUCUAUGCCUACUGUCAAGAAAAUCAUAAAUCUCAAUCCAAUCAAAAGCGAUAGGAAAACGGGUAAAAAGGCCCAGCAAGUUUAGAUUAAUUUUAAACAAUUAAACACUAUCAACAAAGAACUUUUACAUUUAUGUAAAUGCAAAAGCCAACGACUAACAUAAGAGAAAGAGGGAGGAACUGUCAUUUAUAAAAUCCCUUACAUGGCUUUUGCAUUUGUGACUGGUUUAUAUUUGUAACUGUUAAUUAGCUUUUGCAUUUAUAACUGUUUAAAGUUACUAGUUUGAUCAAAUAAAAGUGUUCAAAUUAAUGAAGUAAAUAAUAUAAAAUCAUUAUCAAGUUAUACUAGCUAUUCAGUAGAUCCCAACUGAAUGUUUAACAGUCCUGUUAAAAUAGGCAGCAAAAUAAGAACUAUAUUAUUUUUAUAAUCCUUUGUUCUUAACCUAAUUACAUUAUUUGUAAAUUUAAUUAUCUCUUUUUAGUAGCCUUAUACUUUCAAAGGUCCCAGUGCAGUUUCCUCUCACCAACAGCAUGCAGCAUUUUACAGACAAUUUCUAACCCACUCCAGGUUGAACUGGUAACUUGAUGCCACAGCAACUGUGCAUACUAAUGAGAGAGCUUCCCAUCAAAAACCUGGGAGAUAUCAUCCCGCCCCAGUGACAGCACACUCUGGGAAAGAAGAUCUUACCUCAUCAUCUACUAGCACCAAUCACCUGAGACUAUGGGGGCAGAACUGCAAGUACAGACUGAGGGGAGCGAGAACAUCAAAGGGGCAGCCUGGCCUGAAGAGCUGUCUUUGCUGUCUUUUACUGUUCCUGGGACUGUGACUUAGCUACAGCAGGGGACCCCACACUGCAGAUUUCAGUCAAUAUCUCUUUUUAGAGACCUUUUUCCAGAUUUGAGGGCAGACUAAGUGCAUUCACUGCAAUGCCCUUGGGUUCUGGCCUUGGGGCCAGACGCCAGUUCGGCUAGAGAUUUCCUCAAUCCUUGGGCCUGGGACUUUAUCCUUUUUUCUUUCUUUUCCUUCUUCUUUUUCCUUACCUCCCCUUUUGUUUUUUCCCUUUAA